Molecule: ribosomal RNA, 560 nt
Filed under: Saccharomyces cerevisiae (brewer's yeast)
Lineage: Eukaryota; Fungi; Ascomycota; Saccharomycetes; Saccharomycetales; Saccharomycetaceae
Description: partial large subunit ribosomal RNA
Rfam family: Eukaryotic large subunit ribosomal RNA
Source: RNAcentral
GUACGGCGAGUGAAGCGGCAAAAGCUCAAAUUUGAAAUCUGGUACCUUCGGUGCCCGAGUUGUAAUUUGGAGAGGGCAACUUUGGGGCCGUUCCUUGUCUAUGUUCCUUGGAACAGGACGUCAUAGAGGGUGAGAAUCCCGUGUGGCGAGGAGUGCGGUUCUUUGUAAAGUGCCUUCGAAGAGUCGAGUUGUUUGGGAAUGCAGCUCUAAGUGGGUGGUAAAUUCCAUCUAAAGCUAAAUAUUGGCGAGAGACCGAUAGCGAACAAGUACAGUGAUGGAAAGAUGAAAAGAACUUUGAAAAGAGAGUGAAAAAGUACGUGAAAUUGUUGAAAGGGAAGGGCAUUUGAUCAGACAUGGUGUUUUGUGCCCUCUGCUCCUUGUGGGUAGGGGAAUCUCGCAUUUCACUGGGCCAGCAUCAGUUUUGGUGGCAGGAUAAAUCCAUAGGAAUGUAGCUUGCCUCGGUAAGUAUUAUAGCCUGUGGGAAUACUGCCAGCUGGGACUGAGGACUGCGACGUAAGUCAAGGAUGCUGGCAUAAUGGUUAUAUGCCGCCCGUCUUGAA